ACAGCAUGUGCGUCAUUUCCGUUGUCAGGUGGUGCUGCUAUGGAAAGAUGUGAUCAGUUGUCCUAAGAAGGCUUUUCCCUCAAAACCCCUGUCGGUAAUCGUGAAAUUUCUUCAGUUCGCUUGAAACAAACCGCUUCGUGGUGGAGUGUAAAUGUCGGUGCAGCCCUGGUGAACAUUUAAUCGGCCCGAAAUGAGUGGGAAUUAGUGUACGACAGAGGAUUCCCUCGGCGGUUUUGAUCUGCAGAAUGUCUAAACGUCGUGCUUCGGACCGAGGGGCCGGAGAGACUUCCGGCAGACCCAGCAAGCUCCUUUGUCCUGGGAUAUCUGGCAACAAUGCUAAAAGAGCCGGUCCCUUUGUUUUAGGCCCACGGCUGGGAAACUCUCCUGUGCAGAGUAUAGUGCAGUGUCUAGCCAGAAAAGAUGGGACAGAUGAUUUCUACCAGC
Molecule: long non-coding RNA, 444 nt
Organism: Sinocyclocheilus grahami
Lineage: Eukaryota; Metazoa; Chordata; Actinopteri; Cypriniformes; Cyprinidae
Exons: 3
Source: RefSeq, a predicted model, not a curated record